GCAUUGGUCGUGCAGGGUGCAUACAACCGCUUCGUAGUAAAGACGCGAGAUGCACUGGUUGGAUCCGGGGUUCGACUCCCUGCCGAUGCA
This is a non-coding RNA of Mycena filopes, 90 nucleotides long. The record is from the annotation of a GenBank genome assembly. NCBI's taxonomy places the organism in Eukaryota, Fungi, Basidiomycota, Agaricomycetes, Agaricales, Mycenaceae.